This is a long non-coding RNA of Lagopus leucura (white-tailed ptarmigan), 1151 nucleotides long. RefSeq lists it as uncharacterized. The transcript is spliced from 3 exons. The record is from RefSeq and is a predicted model, not a curated record. NCBI's taxonomy places the organism in Eukaryota, Metazoa, Chordata, Aves, Galliformes, Phasianidae.
CUGGAAAAUAAAGAUGUCUUGUCCUGCUGGUGUUUUCUUUCCAGAAACCUGAGCUGAUAAUCAUUACAACUGCAGCUGCAAAAUUAUGACACCAGAUUCUUUGAGCAUACCAUGCUGUUUACCUGAACUGACUUGUGGGAAGCUGAGAGAAAAAUGAGGGUCUGCUGCAGGUGCUAGCUGAAAUCAAUGGCAAACAACCUUUUUCCUCCAUAAUCAUUGCAAGCAUGGAAAAUGUAGAUAACCAGAGAAGUACAGUCUUUCUGAGCAUCCGAAAUUUACCUGGAAUGAGUUUGCAGAAUGACCCAGACCAAACUGCAUCAUGCCCUGGUAGGGUGGAUGUGACCUACCCAGCCUUCACCUUCAGCUCAGAACUUCAUCCACUGUUGCCAUCAGCAGAACCAUUUCUGGCAACUGUGUAUGUGCUUGUAGCCCAGCCACAAGCAAAAGAAAGUGUUAAGAGCUGAAAUCAGUAGGAACCUUGUAUUUUACUUGCCCUUUGGACUGGUCAAACAGUGCACAGACAGCAGUUCUUUUAGCCUCACCACCCUGAUCUUCCAUACUUGUGUCCAUGCCGUGCACCAUGCAGUAAGAAGAUGCCAAUUGGACUCUACAGUCUGCAAAAUAAUUCUAUAUGAUGUUGCUACACAAAGGGUGGCAGCACAGAGGGAAAUGGAAACAUUAAAGAUGAGAACUGGAAAACUCUUUGCUUUUGUUAGAAUGCUUUUGUCAGAAAUGGCCUGAAGGAACAGAGGAGACGAAUACGCAAUUUCCAAAACAGUAUGGGGAGAUCAAAGGAGGCUGACGUUCUUUCAGAUUGCUGUUGUGGCGGAUCUGCAGGAGGAAAUUGAAGACGAACAUUACUCUAUUUUGGAAGGUGCCAUUAAAAAUGCUGCAUGUUGAAGAAAGCAAUAGACACUGUAGCUUUCAUCCUGUUUUCUUCUUGCCACUGCCCUCCACGUUUCUGUGUUGGCCAUGCUGAGUUUUCCUGAGAUAAAAACCAUCAUUCAGUUCACUUAAAUCAUCCUUACAUUGAACAAAGAUUGAACUGUUUUACCUUCUGAUAUAGUCAAAUGCCUUAGAAGCUCUCCCUGCUCAAUCUCUGCCUUGCCUUGUUGUCUCUUCUAUUGCUAGACUAGUUCAGUGCCUAAGAA